GACGAACGCUGGCGGCGUGCUUAACACAUGCAAGUCGAACGGAAAGGCCCUGCUUUUGUGGGGUGCUCGAGUGGCGAACGGGUGAGUAACACGUGAGUAACCUGCCCUUGACUUUGGGAUAACUUCAGGAAACUGGGGCUAAUACCGGAUAGGAGCUCCUGCUGCAUGGUGGGGGUUGGAAAGUUUCGGCGGUUGGGGAUGGACUCGCGGCGUAUCAGCUUGUUGGUGGGGUAGUGGCUUACCAAGGCUUUGACGGGUAGCCGGCCUGAGAGGGUGACCGGCCACAUUGGGACUGAGAUACGGCCCAGACUCCGACGGGAGGCAGCAGUGGGGAAUAUUGCACAAUGGGCGGAGGCCUGAUGCAGCAACGCCGCGUGCGGGAUGACGGCGUUCGGGUUGUAAACCGCUUGCGCCUGUGACGAAGCGUGAGUGACGGGAAUGGGUAAAGAAGCACCGGCUAACUACGUG
Molecule: ribosomal RNA, 468 nt
Filed under: uncultured bacterium
Lineage: Bacteria
Description: partial 16S ribosomal RNA
Rfam family: Bacterial small subunit ribosomal RNA
Source: RNAcentral